CUUUUUAUUGAUUAAUCCUGUUCACCCAAACUUUGGAGCUAUAUUUUAUAAUUUAAAUGUUUCUCUACACUUUAGGUUUCUUUUCUUCCUCCUCGCCUUUCCUACUCUCCCUUAAUAAUUCUUUUCUUUCUUUGUCUAAUGAUCUCUCUUGAUAACAUGUGCAGUCUCUUGUUAGUCAAAAAGGGUCCUCACCCACCCACUCAUUACUCACCCA
This 214-nucleotide long non-coding RNA is filed under the name Panax ginseng (ginseng). Its description in RNAcentral is "long non-coding RNA (PGIN_LNC003611)". The record is from RNAcentral. Lineage: Eukaryota; Viridiplantae; Streptophyta; Magnoliopsida; Apiales; Araliaceae.